This 612-nucleotide ribosomal RNA is filed under the name Elphidium margaritaceum. RNAcentral describes it as "SSU rRNA". It matches the Rfam family "Bacterial small subunit ribosomal RNA", at positions 536 to 1154 of the family's 1533-position model. Lineage: Eukaryota; Foraminifera; Rotaliida; Elphidiidae. The record is from RNAcentral.
AAGUGUUAUCCGGAAUCACUGGGCGUAAAGCGUCUGUAGGUGGUUUAGUAAGUCAACUGUUAAAUCUUGAAGCUCAACUUCAAAAUCGCAGUCGAAACUAUUAGACUAGAGUAUAGUAGGGGUAAAGGGAAUUUCCAGUGGAGCGGUGAAAUGCGUAGAGAUUGGAAAGAACACCGAUGGCGAAGGCACUUUACUGGGCUAUUACUGACACUCAGAGACGAAAGCUAGGGUAGCAAAUGGGAUUAGAUACCCCAGUAGUCCUAGCUGUAAACAAUGGAUACUAGAUGUUGGGCAGAUCGACCUGUUCAGUAUUAAAGCUAACGCGUUAAGUAUCCCGCCUGGGAAGUAUGCGCGCAAGCGUGAAACUCAAAGGAAUUGGCGGGGGCCCGCACAAGCGGUGGAGCAUGUGGUUUAAUUCGAUGCAACGCGAAGAACCUUACCAGGGUUUGACAUGAUACGAAUUUUCUUGAAAGAGAAAAGUGCCGUUUGGAACGUAUACGCAGGUGGUGCAUGGCUGUCGUCAGCUCGUGUCGUGAGAUGUUGGGUUAAGUCCCGCAACGAGCGCAACCCUUAUUUUUAGUUGCCUUUUAUGGAACUCUAGAAAGACUGCUG